AACUUUAUAGGGCACCCAAAAAAGACUAAGGGGUAUUACUUCUACCUUACUGAUGAACAAUAAGUGUUUGUCAGCAAUAAGACAGUCUUUUUGGAAAAGAAGUUUCUUGAAAAAGAAACUAAUAUCUCUAAGAUGGAACUUGAUGAAGUUUGAUCAGUAGAAGAACUGACACAAUUUGGUAAACCAUGGAGUCAGAUUUGAUUAGAUCAAAUUAGAAACAUGUUGUGAAGAUAUCUUUGAG
Molecule: long non-coding RNA, 241 nt
Filed under: Elaeis guineensis (African oil palm)
Lineage: Eukaryota; Viridiplantae; Streptophyta; Magnoliopsida; Arecales; Arecaceae
Description: long non-coding RNA (EGUI_LNC048320)
Source: RNAcentral